GUAACUGGUUUUAUGACAGCAAAUCAACUGAGUCAGCUCAUGGGAAGUUGUAGGGCACAUUGAUAGGCAUUUCGAUCAGGACCUGAAGAACAAGUUCUAGACAAAGGUGACUACAGCUCUGAAGAUGGAUAUGCUGUCUUGUGAGUCGGAGGGCUUCCCUCUCCAUAGUUGUAUUAAGAAUGAGGUUAAAAGCUCUCAGACAGACUCCUCAAAGCCACAUCCACAGCACAGCGAACACAACAGUGCUUGAAACAGGGACUCUGCCUCUUCUGGGAACUUUGAAAACAACUGCUGAGGGUAUUUCUACAGUUCUUGACAGUGAGCAAACAUCCCAAACAUUCUGUGGUUAUGGAUACUACAUUCCUAAUGUUCCCAGCAUUUUUGCUAUAUUCAUAGCAGAGAAAGUGUGGAUUGUCUAUGAGCCACAGUUCCUAUAGAAAAUAAUCCACCUGCUUCAGAAUCAGGUCCUCCAUGGGCUACAGUGUGGAUAUCUACUCCAUCAUGAUCUCCUCCUCCAUUGUCUACAGGAAGGCUCAUGGCUAGGUAUCACUGCUAUUUUGGAAAGAAUUAAUAUUCCUUUCCCAUUGAAACUGCUGAAUUUGGAGCUAUAAAAAUGCUUACUGAAUGGACAUAAGGCAAUAAAUGAUGUAGGUGGGUUAAAACA
This 664-nucleotide long non-coding RNA is filed under the name Anas platyrhynchos platyrhynchos (common mallard). RNAcentral describes it as "lncRNA (ENSAPLG00000017877.1)". The record is from RNAcentral. Lineage: Eukaryota; Metazoa; Chordata; Aves; Anseriformes; Anatidae.